This 424-nucleotide unclassified non-coding RNA is filed under the name soil metagenome. Its description in RNAcentral is "partial contains 5.8S ribosomal RNA, internal transcribed spacer 2, and large subunit ribosomal RNA". The stretch from base 1 to 119 matches the Rfam family "5.8S ribosomal RNA", at positions 35 to 154 of the family's 154-position model. The record is from RNAcentral.
GAUGAAGAACUAGCGAAAUGCGAUAAGUAGUGUGAAUUGCAGAAUUCCGUGAAUCAUCGAAUCUUUGAACGCACAUUGCGCCUUCUGGUAUUCCGGAAGGCAUGCCUGUUCGAGAGUCAUUAACAACCGUUUCGAUCCCUUUCUUUCAGAAAUUACAAAGAGGAAAAGGGUUUGGUUAUGGUGGAGGAGGGAAAGGGAGCGUUUAGCCUGUAAAAAAAGAGGCUGUGUUCCGCCUCCCCCCCAAAAUUGUACAGGCGGUCGUGUGCGCCCACGCAUCGAGGUGUUGUAAAAGCUGCCACGGCACUUUUCACCUGUGCAGUGCGAGAUUGGCCAGCCGGUUUAAAAACCCCUCCAAACAAUCAAAGGUUGACCUCGGAUCAGGUAGGGAUACCCGCUGAACUUAAGCAUAUCAAUAAGCGGAGGA